Amphiprion ocellaris (clown anemonefish) is the source of this 264-nucleotide long non-coding RNA. The record is from Ensembl. Lineage: Eukaryota; Metazoa; Chordata; Actinopteri; Pomacentridae.
GUGGAAAAAAACGUCAUAGUUUAGUAUGUCGACCAAAAUGUGGAAAAAAAGGUCAUAGUUUAGUAUGUCGUCCAAAAUUGCGAAAAAACGUCAUAGUUUAGUAUGUCGUCCAAAAUGUGGAAAAAAACGUCAUAGUUUAGUAUGUCGUCCAAAAUGUGGAAAAAAAGUCAUAGUUUAGCAUGUCGUCCAAAAUGUGGAAAAAAAGCGUCAUAGUUUAGUAUGUCGUCCAAAAUUGUGAAAAAACGUCAUAGUUUAGUAUGUCGU